This 292-nucleotide ribosomal RNA is filed under the name uncultured bacterium. Its description in RNAcentral is "partial 16S ribosomal RNA". It matches the Rfam family "Bacterial small subunit ribosomal RNA", at positions 505 to 796 of the family's 1533-position model. The record is from RNAcentral.
GUGUCAGCCGCCGCGGUAAUACGUAGGGACCGAGCGUUGUCCGGAAUCAUUGGGCGUAAAGAGCGUGUAGGCGGCCCCUUAAGUCCUGCGUGAAAUCCUGCGGCUCAACCGCAGACGGUCGUGGGAAACUGGAGGGCUAGAGUGCGGGAGAGGAGAGUGGAAUUCCCGGUGUAGCGGUGAAAUGCGCAGAUAUCGGGAAGAACACCCGUGGCGAAGGCGGCUCUCUGGAACGCAACUGACGCUGAGACGCGAAAGCGUGGGGAGCAAACAGGAUUAGAUACCCCCGUAGUCC